CAGUAGCCGCGGUAAUACGAAGGGGGCUAGCGUUGUCCGGAUUUACUGGGCGUAAAGGGCGCGUAGGCGGGCGAAUAAGUCAGGGGUGAAAUCCCAAGGCUCAACCUUGGAACUGCCUUUGAUACUGUUUGUCUUGAGUCCGGGAGAGGUGAGUGGAACUGCGAGUGUAGAGGUGAAACUCGUAGAUAUUCGCAAGAACACCAGUGGCGAAGGCGGCUCACUGGCCCGGAACUGACGCUGAGGCGCGAAAGCGUGGGGAGCAAACAGGAUUAGAUACCCCCGUAGUCCCUGUCUCUUAUAC
This 301-nucleotide ribosomal RNA is filed under the name uncultured bacterium. Its description in RNAcentral is "partial 16S ribosomal RNA". It matches the Rfam family "Bacterial small subunit ribosomal RNA", at positions 509 to 807 of the family's 1533-position model. The record is from RNAcentral.